RNAcentral lists this ribosomal RNA (508 nucleotides) under uncultured bacterium. RNAcentral's name for it is "partial 16S ribosomal RNA". It matches the Rfam family "Bacterial small subunit ribosomal RNA", at positions 28 to 507 of the family's 1533-position model. The record is from RNAcentral.
GACGAACGCUGGCGGCGUGCCUAAUACAUGCAAGUCGAACGCUUCUUUCCUCCCGAGUGCUUGCACUCAAUUGGAAAGAGGAGUGGCGGACGGGUGAGUAACACGUGGGUAACCUACCCAUCAGAGGGGGAUAACACUUGGAAACAGGUGCUAAUACCGCAUAACAGUUUAUGCCGCAUGGCAUAAGAGUGAAAGGCGCUUUCGGGUGUCGCUGAUGGAUGGACCCGCGGUGCAUUAGCUAGUUGGUGAGGUAACGGCUCACCAAGGCCACGAUGCAUAGCCGACCUGAGAGGGUGAUCGGCCACACUGGGACUGAGACACGGCCCAGACUCCUACGGGAGGCAGCAGUAGGGAAUCUUCGGCAAUGGACGAAAGUCUGACCGAGCAACGCCGCGUGAGUGAAGAAGGUUUUCGGAUCGUAAAACUCUGUUGUUAGAGAAGAACAUGGACGUUAGUAACUGAACGUCACCUGACGGUAUCUAACCAGAAAGCCACGGCUAACUACGUG